GACGAACGCUGGCGGCGUGCUUAACACAUGCAAGUCGAACGCUGAAGCUCAGCUUUUGUUGGGUGGAUGAGUGGCGAACGGGUGAGUAACACGUGAGUAACCUGCCCCCUUCUUUGGGAUAACGCCCGGAAACGGGUGCUAAUACUGGAUAUUCACUGGUCUUCGCAUGGGGGUUGGUGGAAAGGGUUUUUCUGGUGGGGGAUGGGCUCGCGGCCUAUCAGCUUGUUGGUGGGGUGAUGGCCUACCAAGGCUUUGACGGGUAGCCGGCCUGAGAGGGUGACCGGUCACAUUGGGACUGAGAUACGGCCCAGACUCCUACGGGAGGCAGCAGUGGGGAAUAUUGCACAAUGGGCGCAAGCCUGAUGCAGCGACGCCGCGUGAGGGAUGGAGGCCUGCGGGUUGUGAACCUCUUUCGCUCAUGGUCAAGCCGCAACAAUGGUUGUGGUGAGGGUAGUGGGUAAAGAAGCGCCGGCUAACUACGUG
Molecule: ribosomal RNA, 483 nt
Filed under: uncultured bacterium
Lineage: Bacteria
Description: partial 16S ribosomal RNA
Rfam family: Bacterial small subunit ribosomal RNA
Source: RNAcentral